UACCUUUAACUGAAAGAACUACGGGUGG
Molecule: non-coding RNA, 28 nt
Filed under: Bombyx mori (domestic silkworm)
Lineage: Eukaryota; Metazoa; Arthropoda; Insecta; Lepidoptera; Bombycidae
Source: RNAcentral